GGGCCUGUUCCUUUUGAACUGACUGCUGGCCAGGAAACAUCAGGACUCAGCAUGGAAAGAGAGAGCAGAUCUGGAAUCUACUGUGUGCCAUGAUCACUCUGUCCCUGGAAUUGUUCCAGAGAUGCCACACGGUGAAGGUCACAGCCCGGUAAACCAAAUGCUGUUCACAGGUACAUAACUGAAAUGCAAGCUAAAAACUGCUGCCAACGCAAACACAGUUAGAAAACUUCCAGCAUUCGGUGCUCCUGGCAUCUCCAAAAGGUAUUAGAACCUGACCGUCCUGGGCCUGUACUGUGCAAGAUGCCAAUACGUGGGAGCUCAAAGUUUAUCCUGCCUCUUCAAACCCGGGGAAGCCUCCACCCUACUUCCUGAUGGCCUUUCAGUUGCCUCUGACCUGGAUCCUCGAGUCACUGCAUCUUGUGGCGUCUACCUGAGAGCAAGUAAACCCAGGGGUCACAGAGGAAACAGAGCAACAUCGUGUAGUGUGAAGGCCCAGCUUCCAUUCCGUAUUUAAGCAUCCGUCUUGUCUUUUCUCCGGUGGUGCCAGAGACAGGGAUCCUGAGAGCGAAGUGCAGUGCAGACACUUGCUGAGCUUCAGGGCUUCCUCCUUCAAUCAUGUGGGGGCUUUCCCGGGAUCACUGUGUUUCGGAUUGGCAUAAGAGGGUGUGCCAG
This 672-nucleotide long non-coding RNA is filed under the name Mus pahari (shrew mouse). Its description in RNAcentral is "lncRNA (MGP_PahariEiJ_G0004760.1)". The record is from RNAcentral. Lineage: Eukaryota; Metazoa; Chordata; Mammalia; Rodentia; Muridae.